RNAcentral lists this ribosomal RNA (422 nucleotides) under uncultured bacterium. RNAcentral describes it as "bacterial SSU rRNA". It matches the Rfam family "Bacterial small subunit ribosomal RNA", at positions 355 to 774 of the family's 1533-position model. The record is from RNAcentral.
UGAGGAAUAUUGGGCAAUGCCCGCAAGGGUGACCCAGCAACGCCGCGUGGAGGAUGAAUGUCGUAAGAUUGUAAACUCCUGUUAGAGGGGAAGAAUAGUACCGGUUGGACCGGUAUAUGACUGUACCCUCAGAGAAAGCCCCGGCUAACUACGUGCCAGCAGCCGCGGUAAUACGUAGGGGGCAAGCGUUGUCCGGAUUUACUGGGUGUAAAGGGCGCGCAGGCGGGAUAAAAAGUCAGUGGUGAAAUCCUACAGCUUAACUGUAGAACUGCCUUUUAUACUUUUAUUCUUGAGUUCGGGAGAGAGAGACGGAAUUCCAGGUGUAGUGGUGAAAUACGUAGAUAUCUGGAAGAACACCAGUUGCGAAGGCGGUCUCUUGAUCCGACACUGACGCUGAGGCGCGAAAGCGUGGGGAGCAAACA